Molecule: ribosomal RNA, 254 nt
Filed under: uncultured bacterium
Lineage: Bacteria
Description: partial 16S ribosomal RNA
Rfam family: Bacterial small subunit ribosomal RNA
Source: RNAcentral
UACGGGGGGAUGCAAGCGUUAUCCGGAAUUAUUGGGCGUAAAGGGUCCUGAGGUGGCUAGCCAAGUCUAUUGUGAAAUAUCAGGGCUUAACCCUGAACAUGCGGUGGAAACUAGAAAGCUUGAGUACAGUAGGGGCGGAGGGAAUUUCCGGUGGAGCGGUGAAAUGCAUAGAUAUCGGGAAGAACACCAACGGCGAAAGCACUCCGCUGGGCUGAUACUGACACUGACAGACGAAAGCUAGGGUAGCGAAAGGG